GCGUUGGUGGUAUAACGGUUAGCAUAGCUGCCUUCCAAGCAGUUGACGCAGGUUCGGCUCCCGGCCGAAGCA
Molecule: non-coding RNA, 72 nt
Organism: Stegodyphus mimosarum
Lineage: Eukaryota; Metazoa; Arthropoda; Arachnida; Araneae; Eresidae
Source: Rfam